RNAcentral lists this transfer RNA (76 nucleotides) under Sulfitobacter sp. R18_1. RNAcentral's name for it is "tRNA-Glu". It matches the Rfam family "tRNA". Rfam says of the family: Transfer RNA (tRNA) molecules are approximately 80 nucleotides in length. Their secondary structure includes four short double-helical elements and three loops (D, anti-codon, and T loops). Lineage: Bacteria; Pseudomonadati; Pseudomonadota; Alphaproteobacteria; Rhodobacterales; Roseobacteraceae. The record is from RNAcentral.
GGCCCCUUCGUCUAUCGGUUAGGACGCUAGGUUCUCAACCUAGAAAGGCUGGGUUCAAUUCCCGCAGGGGCUACCA